RNAcentral lists this ribosomal RNA (506 nucleotides) under uncultured bacterium. Its description in RNAcentral is "partial 16S ribosomal RNA". It matches the Rfam family "Bacterial small subunit ribosomal RNA", at positions 29 to 523 of the family's 1533-position model. The record is from RNAcentral.
AGUGAACGCUGGCGGUAGGCCUAACACAUGCAAGUCGAACGGCAGCACAGAGGAGCUUGCUCCUUGGGUGGCGAGUGGCGGACGGGUGAGGAAUACAUCGGAAUCUACUCUGUCGUGGGGGAUAACGUAGGGAAACUUACGCUAAUACCGCAUACGACCUACGGGUGAAAGCAGGGGACCUUCGGGCCUUGCGCGAUUGAAUGAGCCGAUGUCGGAUUAGCUAGUUGGCGGGGUAAAGGCCCACCAAGGCGACGCUCCGUAGCUGGUCUGAGAGGAUGAUCAGCCACACUGGAACUGAGACACGGUCCAGACUCCUACGGGAGGCAGCAGUAGGGAAUAUUGGACAAUGGGCGCAAGCCUGAUCCAGCCAUACCGCGUGGGUGAAGAAGGCCUUCGGGUUGUAAAGCCCUUUUGUUGGGAAAGAAAUCCAGCUGGCUAAUACCCGGUUGGGAUGACGGUACCCAAAGAAUAAGCACCGGCUAACUUCGUGCCAGCAGCCGCGGUAA